GGGGAGGGGACAGUGGCGCACGGGUGAGUAACACGUGGGUAAUUUACCUUUGGGUGGGGAACAACAGCCGGAAACGGCUGCUAAUACCGCAUAAUGCAGCGGCUCGACAUCGAGACAGUUGUUAAAGCGGGGGAUCGCAAGACCUCGUGCCUAAAGAGAAGCCCGCGGCAGAUUAGCUAGUUGGUAGGGUAAUGGCCUACCAAGGCGACGAUCUGUAACCGGCCUGAGAGGGCGGUCGGUCACACUGACACUGACAUACGGGUCAGACCCCUACGGGAGGCAGCAGUCGGGAAUUUUGGGCAAUGGGCGAGAGCCUGACCCAGCAACGCCGCGUGAAGGAUGAAGCUUUUCGGAGUGUAAACUUCACAAGAAUGGGAAGAAUAAGUGUGGGAUAAUACCCUUCACGAUGACGGUACCAUUUGUAAGCUCCGGCUAACUCCGUGCCAGCAGCCGCGGUAAUACGGGGGGAGCAAGCGUUGUUCGGAUUUACUGGGCGUAAAGGGCGCGUAGGCGGCGCGACAAGUCACUUGUGAAAUCUCUGGGCUCAACCCAGAACGGUCAAGUGAUACUGUCGUGCUAGAGUGCGGAAGGGGCAACUGGAAUUCUUGGGUGUAGCGGUGAAAUGCGUAGAUAUCAAGAGGAACACCUGCGGCGAAAGCGGGUUGCUGGGCCGACACUGACGCUGAGCGCGAAAGCUAGGGAGCGACGGGAUAGAUACCCCGGUAGUCUAGCUUAAACGAUGAAUGCUGGUGUC
Molecule: ribosomal RNA, 754 nt
Filed under: uncultured bacterium
Lineage: Bacteria
Description: bacterial SSU rRNA
Rfam family: Bacterial small subunit ribosomal RNA
Source: RNAcentral